This 93-nucleotide small RNA is filed under the name Enterococcus lactis. Its description in RNAcentral is "Trans-activating crRNA". It matches the Rfam family "Trans-activating crRNA". Rfam says of the family: RNA-guided Streptococcus pyogenes Cas9 (SpCas9) is a sequence-specific DNA endonuclease, the Trans-activating CRISPR RNA form an hybrid with the crRNA (crRNA/tracrRNA). The record is from RNAcentral. RNAcentral also lists the same sequence under 1 other name. Lineage: Bacteria; Bacillati; Bacillota; Bacilli; Lactobacillales; Enterococcaceae.
UAUUGGUAGCAUUCAAAUCAAUAUAGCAAGUUAAAAUAAGGCUUUGUCCGUCAUCAGCUUUUUUAAAGCAGCGCUGUUCUCGGCGCUUUUUUU